AUGUACGCCAAGACUCAGCGGCUGAUCUUCCGCUGCCGCACGCUCCGCCGCCUGCGCCUGACGAGCUGGACGCUGGACCUGCCGGGGAGCGUGGACAUGGCGUCGCUGGACACGCUCUGCCUCGGGAGGAUCGUCGACGGAGGCGGGAUGCUGCAGCGGCUGCUCUCGAGCUGCCCGCGCCUUGCCAGCCUGACGCUGGAGGAGUGCCAGAGCAUCAAGGAGAUCACGGUGGCCAGCCCCUACCUGCGCAGCUUCGCCAUGAUCUGCUGCCACAAUGCCACGGGCGUCGAGCUGCACACCACCUGCCUGAACUCGCUGCACUACAGAGGCGGCCUCCCUCCUCGCGGGCCGUCCUUUAUCACGGUCCCAAACUUCUUGGCAGUCGCGGCGCUGAGGAUUGGAAUCUGCGAAGACCUCUCCAGCAAAGGACCGUCGGAAGUCGCUCCAGUGACGACGCUCAUCAGCAGGUGCAGACGCCUGAGAUAUCUUGAACUUUCCUUGCACCCAUCAAUGGCCUACUACAGCAGCCUGCUCACAAGCGUCUUGCGCGGACUAGACAACCUCACAGAGCUGAGCCUCCAGGGCAGAUUACCCACUGAUCAUGCUGUCCGGUCUGUCGCCGCCUUGCUUCUCAACGCCAAGAACCUGCAAGUGCUGUCGCUGUUCCUUCUGGGUCCAUAUGAUCGGAUGGCAUACGAUUUGUCUGAUGCUGAAUCAGAGACUGAUCUGUCGGACACCAAUUCAGAUGGCGAAUAUGGUACCUAUCCAGAUGGCGAAAUAGAUGCCGUUCCAGAUGGCAAAACAGAUGCCGAUAUGGAUGACGAAACAUAUACCGAUCAAGAUGCUGAUCCAGAUGCUGAAACAGAGACCGAGUCAGGUGGCGAAUCAGAGAUCGAGCCAGAUAACGAGGCAGAUGGUGAACCAGAGACUGAGCCAGAUGGCGAACGAGAUAUGGAGCCCAAGGACAAUGCCAUCAACAAUGGCGUCAAGGAUAGUACCGGGAUACCCCCCAGUCUGUGGCAUAUGGACGUCAGGUGCUUGGAUCGCAGUCUGAGAAGAAUCAAUAUUGCCAACUACAGAGGACUGCCUCUCGAAAAGAUGCUUGCGAAGUUUCUGCUUUCCAAGGCUGCAGUGUUGGAGGAAUUCUCAGUUACGUUAGCAGCUUGGCUUGAACCACGGGAGGAUAAUAAACUAGCAAAGGAGCUAACAUCCUGGCUAUGUGUAGGCCGUACCAGAGUAACUUGUAUCUAUUCAAAGAAAAAAAAAGGAGUAACUUUUAACUAG
RNAcentral lists this ribosomal RNA (1284 nucleotides) under Triticum aestivum (bread wheat). RNAcentral's name for it is "partial small subunit ribosomal RNA". The record is from RNAcentral. Lineage: Eukaryota; Viridiplantae; Streptophyta; Magnoliopsida; Poales; Poaceae.